RNAcentral lists this non-coding RNA (21 nucleotides) under Caenorhabditis elegans. The record is from RNAcentral. Lineage: Eukaryota; Metazoa; Nematoda; Chromadorea; Rhabditida; Rhabditidae.
UGAGGUCUGCAACUUGUUCCA